CAAGAAGAGCAGGGGAACCCAGAGGGCUCUUGGAGGGAAGGUCAGAAGCACCAGAAUUGUUUUGACCCAGUGACUUUGAAAUCAAAUAAAAAGGAAUGGCACACACUGUGAAGUGCAGCAUCAAAAUCACAUAGAAUGAGGCUUCGAAAGGCCACCGGACUUUUUGGUGGAGGUUAUGGUGACAUUUGGAGAAAAUUUUCCAUAGAGUUGUUAGGAAAGCACGGGCGAUUUCAAAGAGAGGGAGAGGAGCAGCAAUGACGUGAUGAGGACUUGCGGCUAGCAUGUUCCAAGAGUUUCCUUGUGAAAAGGAAAAAAUCAGGACCUCUGGUACAGCAAGGUCAAAUCAAGGAUUUAAGAAGGCAAGAGCUUCACCUGUGUUUGCUGAGAGCGGAGGGGACUUUGGCGGCGUUGGAUAGACUUGGCACAGACACACAAGCAAAGCAGGGCCGCGACGAUGCCGGGCUGUGCGCACUAGAUGGCAGCAGCGGGGCCCUUUCGGCUCGGUUCGCGGUCCUAUAAGGCGCUGCUUGUUUAAGUACAUCGCAUUUAGUUGAAGCUGCAGGGGAGUGAGGGAGAGGAGGAGAGGAAGGAGGAAAGCGGGAGAGCUCGAGGGACGAGGGGGCUCGGUGUGUUUACACCAGGCACGGGCUACGAGCGUCCAUCCCGGCCCCUGGCUCGCGCUCCCGAAGAGGAGAACAAGGCUGUCCUGGGAUCCGGCCGUCGUGCGGCAGGAGGCUCGUCUGUCCGGGUUGCCGGAGCCGGGAGAGCCCAGAGGGAAACCGAGGGAAACGAGCGGCGCGUUUUACUAGAGAGAGCGCGAGCGGAAGCGGCGAGAGCAGGAGCGCGCGAGGGAGCGUCGAGCGCGGCGGAGACAUGAGGACCUACUGGCUGCACAGCGUCUGGGUGCUGGGCUUUUUCCUGUCCCUCUUCUCACUGCAAGUACUGCCUGUUCUGUUCUCUCACUGGCUACCUGGUGAGCAAGCUGGGAAAACAAUGAGAACAGUCCCAAUUACAUGAAGGCUCGAACAUGCAAAAUUGAAAUGACAAGGUAAAUCCACUUAAGUUGAUUUUAAAAUUUAGGAUAUUUUAUAUCCAUGAAAAUAGUGAAACUUGAUUUCUUCUUCUCUAAUCCUCUUAUAGCACCUGCUACUUUUGUCAUUCAUCAUUUUUCAUGGUACUUAAUCUUCUCUCCCUUGUGUUCUUACCUGUUCUAUGAGCAUAUAUCUUGUCUUUCUAAUUAGAUUACAAGCUCCCAUGAAAUAAUGAUUAUCUUUUCCUCAAAAGAGAAGUUCUUCUCACUGUUUAGCCUGUUUUUGACUCAUAUUGUCUUAUCCACCUGUGAUUGUUAUAGAAUAUAAAAUAGCAAAAUAAAAAUAUUAUGUUGAACAGUAUUACCACUGGCUUUCCAUAUCAAAAUUAAUUUCAAAUUUUCCAUUUGGGUAAAAUCUUCAUAUGCACCAUCUUCCCUUACCAAGUCUCAUACUUCAAAUACCAUAUGAAAAUAUAAAUAAAAAAAAUUGACAUCACCUCUUCACAAAUAGUAACUUCAGAUUACACUAAAGUUUCCAUCUUUGUGAGGUUUAUCCAUUUGAGAGGAGGGUGUGCAUUAGUUUGUUUUCACACUGCUGUAAAGAUACUACUUGAGCAUGGGUAAUUAUUAAACAAAAAGUUUAAUUGACUCACAGUUCUGCUUGGCUGGCCUUAGGAAACUUACAAUCAUGGCAGAAGGUGAAGGGGAAGCAGGUGUCUUCUUCACAAGGCAGAAGGAGAGAAGGAGCCCAGGGGAAGCUAACAGUUUUUAAACCAACAGAUCUCAUGAGAAUUCCCUCACUAUUAUGAGAAAAGCAUGGGAAAAACUGUUCCCAUGAUCUAGUCACCUCCCACCAGGUCUUUCCCUGGACAUAUGGGAAUUACAAUUUGAGAUAAGGUGUGGAUGAGGACACAGAGCCAAACGGUAUCUGGGUGUUACACUUUUGGGAAAUCUUUUUUACUCCCUUCUUCCACACUGGA
Callithrix jacchus (white-tufted-ear marmoset) is the source of this 2010-nucleotide long non-coding RNA. The record is from Ensembl. Lineage: Eukaryota; Metazoa; Chordata; Mammalia; Primates; Cebidae.